AGGUUGGCCUUCUGUCUUCCAUUUUCCAGUUUACCCUUAUGAGUCAAUUGCGGUGAUCUUCUUGAGCUAUCCGGAAUUCUUGGGCUGCCCAAUUAUUAGGUUCCGUUAACCGGAAAAAAACUACGCGAAUAAUUCCUAACUGAAUAGGCCUUCCAACACGUAAUAAAAUUGAACAAAUAAAUAGGUGAUUAUUCAAACAAAAUUAACAACUAAUACAACAUCAACAUUGUCCUCGAAUGACACUUAAUCCCAAUCUCAAAUUACAACCAACCAAUUAAAAAAUUGAAAUGCACAUACAGGGUGUCCCAUCGUUAACAAACUAGACAAGGAUGCAGCAUAUUUGUGACAAUAAAUGAAUAGAUAACUAAACAACUCAUUUAUUGACACGGCAAAGACCGAAUAUAUGCAGUGCAGGCCGCAGACCAAUGGAACUAUCACCAUGAAGAAGGUCAACAAAUUGAAAUACCUCGGCUCCACUAUCAGCAGUGACAGCGAGAUCCCUGACGUUCGAGCCAGCGUCAACGCGGCAUGGGCGAAGUGGCGCUGUCACAAGCGUUUUGUGUGAUCGGCGAAUGAAAGUCCAGAGGUGUCGCCAAUUGAUGUGAAGAUGCGUGAGGCGCGAUUUCGAUGUACAGCUUGCGGCAACUUGAUCUGUCCCUGCUAUCUCAACUGUGGUCGUUGAACGAGUCGAUUCAGGACUUUCGACAAAUGCUGCAAGACCAAGAUGACAGAGCCUUAUCGCCGCCAUCGCCUUCUCCCUCACCAUCGUCCUGUGAUGACGGUGACGCGGACGAAUUCUUCUCGCCCUCGCCGCUGAGACUGAGACCGGCCCCGCCUCCUCCCCCCUUGCGACGGACGAGUAAUAGUUCGUCGGCUAAUUCCAGUGAAUACGGGACUGUUUAAUAUUUUUAAGUAAAAGUAAACUGUUUAGGAAAGAGCGAUAUUUCGUACAAGUUUAAUCCAUAACCAAAUCGGUAGAUGUGUGAUACUUAUAAUAAUCUUAAUUUAUAGUAAACUGUGUUCCAAGACUAUUGUAGAUUAUAGUUUUAUUCCAUCUCUAAUUUGUACAAUCAAAAGUAGACUAGCGAAAUGUGUGUUUGGAUCUUAAUGUUGUUGGUGUAAAUCGAAUUAAUUUUUAAGGUGUUUGUAAUUAUUUCAAAAUAAAAGUGUAAUUUUCUA
Molecule: RNA transcript, 1179 nt
Organism: Photinus pyralis (common eastern firefly)
Lineage: Eukaryota; Metazoa; Arthropoda; Insecta; Coleoptera; Lampyridae
Gene name: leucine repeat adapter protein 25-like
Exons: 2
Source: RefSeq, a predicted model, not a curated record